Molecule: ribosomal RNA, 762 nt
Filed under: uncultured bacterium
Lineage: Bacteria
Description: bacterial SSU rRNA
Rfam family: Bacterial small subunit ribosomal RNA
Source: RNAcentral
AUUGAACGCUGGCGGCAGGCUUAACACAUGCAAGUCGGACGGUAACAGGAGGAAAGCUUGCUUUCUUUGCUGACGAGUGGCGGACGGGUGAGUAAUGCUUGGGAAUCUGUUUUAUGGAGGGGGAUAACUACGGGAAACUGUAGCUAAUACCGCGUAAUAUCGAGAGAUUAAAGUGUGGGACCGUAAGGCCACACGCCAUAGAGUGAGCCCAAGUGGGAUUAGGUAGUUGGUGGGGUAAAGGCCUACCAAGCCGUCGAUCUCUAGCUGGUCUGAGAGGAUGACCAGCCACACUGGGACUGAGACACGGCCCAGACUCCUACGGGAGGCAGCAGUGGGGAAUAUUGCACAAUGGGCGCAAGCCUGAUGCAGCCAUGCCGCGUGAAUGAAGAAGGCCUUCGGGUUGUAAAGUUCUUUCGGUGGUGAGGAAGGUUGUAAUGUUAAUAGCAUUAUAAUUUGACGUUAGCCACAGAAGAAGCACCGGCUAACUCCGUGCCAGCAGCCGCGGUAAUACGGAGGGUGCGAGCGUUAAUCGGAAUAACUGGGCGUAAAGGGCACGCAGGCGGAUACUUAAGUGAGGUGUGAAAGCCCUGGGCUUAACCUAGGAAUUGCAUUUCAUACUGGGUAUCUAGAGUAUUUUAGGGAGGGGUAGAAUUCCACGUGUAGCGGUGAAAUGCGUAGAGAUGUGGAGGAAUACCGAAGGCGAAGACAGCCCCUUGGGGGAAUACUGACGCUCAUGUGCGAAAGCGUGGGGGAGCAAACAGG